CCCUUAGAUGUUCUGGGCCGCACGCGCGCUACACUGUUCGACGCAGCGAGUCUUAACCUUGACCGAAAGGUUUGGGUAAUCUUCAGCAAAGUCGAACGUGAUGGGGAUCGAUCAUUGCAAUUAUUGAUCGUGAACGAGGAAUUCCUAGUAAGUGCAAGUCAUCAGCUUGCGCUGAUUACGUCCCUGCCCUUUGUACACACCGCCCGUCGCUACUACCGAUUGAAUGGUUUAGUGAGAUCUCUGGAUUGACGCUGGCUAGGGGGCGACCCUUGGCCAGGCUGUCGAGAAACUGCUCAAACUUGAUCAUUUAGAGGAAGUAAGAGUCGUAACA
This 331-nucleotide ribosomal RNA is filed under the name uncultured eukaryote. Its description in RNAcentral is "partial 18S ribosomal RNA". It matches the Rfam family "Eukaryotic small subunit ribosomal RNA", at positions 1470 to 1796 of the family's 1831-position model. The record is from RNAcentral.